CUUCUUGUCCCUUGCUUUCUCGAGGUUGCUAACUCUUUUUUCCAUAGAAUCCAUAAAGUUAAUCAACCUCUCUUGUAGCGCAGGAGUUAGGUUCACCCCCCCAUUUGAUGGUAGUGAUGAGGGCACCUCAUGUGUCGAAAGUGGUAUAUUGGAGGUUGGUAUAGUACGGGAACCAACCGUCCUACCAGAAGCUCCUACCUCAGUAGCAAUGGCAAGAGCUUUCUUUUUAUGAUCCUUAGUAAAAGGAGCCAUAAAUGGGAUGGUUGCUUCUAUCGGGUCGAAGCAACAGACUACGAUUGGAAGUUCCUCCGAAAUGUCGGAAGCUAUGGGUAGGUACCUGCCCCCCCGGGUGUCACAAAACAGAAAAAAUUUCGUAUAAUAUUUCUUUGUAGUUUUGUUACCCCCUUGAGCAGUACUACUAGUCCCCAAAGUUUGGAAUUAGCAAAAAAUAUCGCAAAUUUUUUGCAAUUUUUCAGCAGAAAAUCGUGCCGCCGGAGGUCGUUUUCGGGAUGCCUGUUUAGACCUAAUCCAGAAAAGAUUCCUUGCACUGUUGGGAAACUCUGCCUUAUUGUACUCGUAGAGAAAACUUUUUUCAAGUGAUGUGUGGUCGUAGAAUCCCAAAAUCAGAUCUGGGUAUUCCGGAGGUGGACCGACAGAAUCACUGGUAGUGAAAAAAGGUAAAAAGCCCCUUUUUUUUUUUUUUUUUACCGAAACGACGAUGCGAAUCCAACCGUGACGAUGGAUUUUCGUUUCGGUAAAAGAGCUGGGCUAUGCGUGGUCUUAUUCAGCCGAAGCAAUGAAUGAAGACGAUGAUCGAAUGACCAAAUCGACAAUUCAACUAUGGGAAUCGCCUAUUCAGUGUGGAAGUCGGCGACUCAACUGUGGGAAUCGCCUACUCAGUGUGGUCUUAUUCAGCCGAAGCAAUGAAUGAAGACGAUGAUCGAAUGACCGAAUCGACAAUUCAACUAUGGGAAUUGCCUAUUCAGUGUGGGAGUCGGCGAUUCAAUUGUGGAAAUCGCCUACUCAGUGUGGUCUUAUUCAGCCGAAGCGAUGAAUGAAGACGAUGACCGAAUCGACAAUUCAACUGUGGGAAUCACCUACUCAGUAUGAGAGUCGGCGACUCAACUGUGGAAAUCGCCUACUCAGUGUGGAUAGGUGAUUUUCUAUGAAAAAUCCAACCUAUAUGGAAGUGAAAGUGCCAGAGCAAAAGGCAUUGACAGCACUUGCUCAAAAAGCUAAAGGAAUCGGCGACUCCCUAUGUGGAGUCGGCGAUUCAACUUAUGGCCUUUUUGAACCAAGCCGUGGACAGCACUCUUAGCUAGCAGAAUAACCCAUAAUCGGCGACUCACUAGGUGGAGUCGGCGAUUGCCUGUGUGAAUCGGAGAUUCCUUGACACAAAGUCAGCGACUCACCCUAAGGGAAUCGAGCUGAACUUUGCGAAGAAAAUUUCGCGAUUACGACGGGAUAUCGUGAUUCGAUAGUUCCCACAGACGGCGCCAGCUGAUGAAGCACGAAAUCUGCUACCAGUAGGCUCGCGGGGUUGCAAGGAGGGCCGGAGGCUUUGGAGUCCACGACGCACGCUCUACGUCAAUGUACCUGCAGAAGAGGAGGGGAAUCGGCGACUCACGUGGGAGUAGGCGAUUUGGGCUCCUUAGUUUGCUCUGGUUGGUGUGUGUCAAGUGUG
This 1684-nucleotide long non-coding RNA is filed under the name Zostera marina. Its description in RNAcentral is "long non-coding RNA (ZMAR_LNC003481)". Lineage: Eukaryota; Viridiplantae; Streptophyta; Magnoliopsida; Alismatales; Zosteraceae. The record is from RNAcentral.